AUUGAACGCUGGCGGCAGGCUUAACACAUGCAAGUCGAACGAGUGGCGGACGGGUGAGUAAUGUCUGGGAAACUGCCUGAUGGAGGGGGAUAACUACUGGAAACGGUAGCUAAUACCGCAUACCAUCGGAUGUGCCCAGAUGGGAUUAGCUAGUAGGUGGGGUAACGGCUCACCAAGGCGACGAUCCCUAGCUGGUCUGAGAGGAUGACCAGACACACUGGGACUGAGACACGGUCCAGACUCCUACGGGAGGCAGCAGUGGGGAAGAUGGGACAAUGGGCGAAAGCCUGAGGCAGCCAUGCCGCGUGUAUGAAGAAGGCCUUCGGGUUGUAAAGUACUUUCGGCAGGGAGGCGUUACCCGCAGAAGAAGCACCGGCUAACUCCGUGCCAGCAGCCGCGGUAAUUC
RNAcentral lists this ribosomal RNA (406 nucleotides) under uncultured bacterium. RNAcentral describes it as "partial 16S ribosomal RNA". It matches the Rfam family "Bacterial small subunit ribosomal RNA", at positions 29 to 526 of the family's 1533-position model. The record is from RNAcentral.